UAAUAUUUUUUUCUAAAAUAAAAUUUAUCAAAAAUUUGGAAUUAAUAUUAGUUUAAGGGUCCAAUUUUUUUUUGACACUAGGAUCCGGGAAACUGUUGAGCCGGCCCUGAAUCUCCGCCACGUGAGUAGACAUCUUGCUUCAAUUGAAUAUCUCUAAAUGUCUUGUCUUUCCUUUACAAUUUGGGGUGGUGGAAGUUAGAAAAGACUAAGUUAUGUUGCAGUUUUUUUAUUGUUUUUUUUUGGUAAAUCGGCUUUCAUAUUAAAAACGAAAAGAAAAAUAAAACCAUACAAAGCCAUAGGCUUUUAGUUUGUUUUGGGCUCUACCCAGUAAUCAACUUAAGGAAACACAUAUUUUAGGAACUAAGCCCAGUGAUGAAACUGAGGCCCAAGUGAUGAGAUAGAUAAUCGAUGGAAGGUAGUGGAAGAGAGAAAGUCAAAAGAGCAGAGAGUCACGGGAAGAGAGGUCAGGACCGGAGAAACCAAAGCUGUAGCAUCGCCGAAGCCGCGCUUGGGUUUGCAUGUCUCAAGCUCUGAAGCCUGUUUCGAACUUGGCGAUCGAUCGAUCUUACAAUAGUAUCCACCGGCUUGAAGGUUUGUCGAUGGAGUCUAGAGUUUCUUUCUGACCAAAUCCAGUAGAUAGUGGCCUGUGCUGCGAUCAAAGUGAGGCGCCUUAAAGCUUUGUUCUGUGUGAGACCUUGUAGCUGAAGAACAGUACCAGUCCAGGAAUCAAGUGCUUGGAGUUGACAUCGAUCCGCAAUCUUCUGCCAGAUAGAGGAACUAUAGCUACACUGAAAGUAAAGGUGGUUCCUGCUCUCCAGACCCGUGCCACAUAACAAACAGUGAGGCUGGACAUCAAGCCCCCAUCUGAUUAGUCGGUCUCUUGUAGGACACCGAUCUAGAUGGACGAGCCAGGAGUGAAAGCUAUGGCGAGGGAUUCCAUAUGAAAUCCAAACAGUCUUAGCCCACGGAACAUGAGCCUUGGGUCCCUUCAUGGUGGUUAGAUGUAUCUGCAAAGCUAGUUGUUGCUCAGUUCUUGCCGGUGGUAGGAGCCAAACUCCAUCUAUGUAAAGGGAAGCGACAGUAGCUGACUUUGGGAUUCCUAGGCGAGUUUUUUGAUUGUUGUUAUCACUAAUGAUCUGUUCCAAUCAUAUAUGGUUAAGGAAGCUAUUGGUGGGUCUUGUUACCUUUCGAUUAUGAUUGUGCAUGAUCCUGUCUGUUUGGGAUUCUAAUGUUGUUGAUCUUGGUUGUUACUCAAGAAUGAAAUGUGUUUGUCGGAAGAAAACAUUAGUUUUGUAAUUUGCAUGCGUAAAAUCUUCAAAUCUUUACAGAAGUA
Molecule: long non-coding RNA, 1333 nt
Organism: Raphanus sativus (radish)
Lineage: Eukaryota; Viridiplantae; Streptophyta; Magnoliopsida; Brassicales; Brassicaceae
Exons: 2
Source: RefSeq, a predicted model, not a curated record